This 461-nucleotide ribosomal RNA is filed under the name uncultured bacterium. RNAcentral's name for it is "bacterial SSU rRNA". It matches the Rfam family "Bacterial small subunit ribosomal RNA", at positions 32 to 524 of the family's 1533-position model. The record is from RNAcentral.
AAUCAACGCUGGCGGCGUGCCUAACACAUGCAAGUCGCACGAGAAAGGGACUUCGGUCCUGAGUACAGUGGCGCACGGGUGAGUAACACGUGAAUAAUCUACCUUCGAGUGGGGAAUAACUGAGAGAAAUCUUAGCUAAUACCGCAUAAUACCUACGGGUCAAAGCAGCAAUGCGCUUGAAGAGGAGUUCGCGGCAGAUUAGUUAGUUGGCAGGGUAAUGGCCACCAAGACGAUGAUCUGUAUCCGGCCUGAGAGGGCGCACGGACACACUGGAACUGAAACACGGUCCAGACUCCUACGGGAGGCAGCAGUGGGGAAUUUUGCGCAAUGGGGGAAACCCUGACGCAGCAACGCCGCGUGGAGGAUGAAAUCCCUUGGAUGUAAACUCCUUUGAUCGGGAAGAUAAUGACGGUACCGAGAGAAGAAGCCCCGGCUAACUUCGUGCCAGCAGCCGCAGUAAG